Molecule: ribosomal RNA, 253 nt
Filed under: uncultured bacterium
Lineage: Bacteria
Description: partial 16S ribosomal RNA
Rfam family: Bacterial small subunit ribosomal RNA
Source: RNAcentral
UACGGGGGGGGCAAGCGUUGUUCGGAAUUACUGGGCGUAAAGGGCUCGUAGGCGGCCAACUAAGUCGGAUGUGAAAUCCCCAGGCUUAACCUGGGAACUGCAUUCGAUACUGGCAAGCUAGAGUCCCGGAGAGGAUGGUGGAACUCUCGGUGUAGAGGUGAAAUUCGUAGAUAUCGAGAAGAACACCGGUGGCGAAGGCGGCCAUCUGGACGGUGACUGACGCUGAGACGCGAAAGCGUGGGGAGCAAACAGG